Molecule: long non-coding RNA, 634 nt
Filed under: Monodelphis domestica (gray short-tailed opossum)
Lineage: Eukaryota; Metazoa; Chordata; Mammalia; Didelphimorphia; Didelphidae
Description: lncRNA (ENSMODG00000043550.1)
Source: RNAcentral
ACUUUUUAUAUUUCAAUAUCUAGUGAGGAAUGUGAAUCCAUAUUUAUAUAUACCUUUUGAUUUACACAGGCUUCCCUGUACAACAACCUUGUGAAGAAAGCAUCACAGAUAUUAAUAAACCCAUUUUGCAGAAGAGAAAAGUAAAAAUCAGAAUAUCUAAGUGACUUACUCCAGGUCACACAACCAGAAAGAAGCAAAGAUCUCUAGAAGAACAGAGGCUACGUAUAGGUGAUAUCACAGCCUGAGCUUUACCAAAGCAUUGAUCUACUACUUUUAACAAGCUUGGGUCCCUGACCACAUCAUCACUCACAGAGACAAUCACUCUGUCUUUGGCUUUCUCAAAUAUUUCUGUGACCUCCAAAGCAUCAGAUCAUCACAUGGUGUGGGUGUGAUGUGGUAUUCAAUGAAUGGACUCAGUCUUACUUGAAAUCUAAGGCAGCAGUGCAUGCCAGGCUAUUUCCUAGACUUUUGAUUUUGAACUUUGGGAAAAGACAAGAUUUCUCAAGUGACCAAUAUGUAUACUUUUAAGAGACUUGGUCCUUCAUUGACCCAAUCACAGAAGAGUCAGGAGAUAAUGCAUUAAAUGGAUAUAUGGUCCCUUUAUAAGGAUUUAAAUUGGUUUCAUGAGUGAAUA